GAUGAACGCUAGCGGCAGGCUUAAUACAUGCAAGUCGAGGGGCAGCAGUUUUGUAGCAAUACAGAAGCUGGCGACCGGCAAACGGGUGCGGAACACGUACGCAACCUUCCUUUAACUGGAAGAUAGCCCACCGAAAGGUGGAUUAAUACUCCAUAACAUAUUGAAGAGGCAUCUCUUUGAUAUUAAAGCUCCGGCGGUUAAAGAUGGGCGUGCGUCUGAUUAGGUAGUUGGCGGGGUAACGGCCCACCAAGCCUUCGAUCAGUAGCUGAUGUGAGAGCAUGAUCAGCAACACGGGCACUGAGACACGGGCCCGACUCCUAUGGGAGGCAGCAGUAAGGAAUAUUGGUCAAUGGACGCAAGUCUGAACCAGCCAUGCCGCGUGGAGGAUGAAGGCCCUCUGGGUUGUAAACUUCUUUUCUUUGGGACGAAACCCCUGUUUCUACGGGGACUGACGGUACCAGAGGAAUAAGCACCGGCUAACUCCGUGCCAGCAGCCGCCGUAA
This 503-nucleotide ribosomal RNA is filed under the name uncultured bacterium. RNAcentral's name for it is "partial 16S ribosomal RNA". It matches the Rfam family "Bacterial small subunit ribosomal RNA", at positions 28 to 523 of the family's 1533-position model. The record is from RNAcentral.